UGCUGCAGUUGUCAGGGAAUGUCACCUUGACACUAUUGCAGGGUGACAUCAGUCGCACCACCCAGACCAAGCAUGGGCUGAACGCAAGUCAAAAAUAUGUUGUGUGCGCGUGCGUUUGUGAAGGGCAUUGAGGUGUGUCAGCCCUCAAAGAGCUGCUUUGUUUUCAGGCUUAGUCCAGGUCACUCCCUUCCUUUGUCUUUGUGUUGUUAUGAACAUAACCUUGUUGUUGUGUGUUUUGGGAGGGCGGCAGAGAAGAUAGGAUGAGGAAAAGAAGCUGCCCCACUGGGCUCUGCCUUGAUUCACAGCCCCAUGUAUUCUUCUCAUUACAGGUCUGCAGUGACACUGAACUUGAGCCUGGAGAGUUGGCAGCAGGGAUGGACUAUUUCUGCACUUACUUUGUAAUUCAAAGAGCCAUGGACAUGCCUGCUGAGCGAGAGCCUGAGAAUAGGCUGAGAGGAAUCCCCAAUUUGACUGAGGAACCUGUGAAUCCAGUUGCAGGUUGAGGAGAGCCUCUCCGUUGUAAUGAGAUUGGAACAGCACAGGGCUCAGUGAAUGGAAGAUGUUCUGCACUGGUGGAUACAUGGAGUACAUGGAGCCUCUACAGAGGUCUAAUGUCGGCUUGUUUUCUCUUCAUCUUGAUUGAUUUGACUUGUUCACAUUGACACACAUGCUGGUUUAGAUAGGCCUAUCUCAUUCAAUGUAGACACGGGUUGGUUACUAGGGGCAAAUAAUAAUUAAAUGACUUGAUGGGUUGAGUGUUGUUAUUAAGUGACAUAGCAAUUAAACCUUGGUGUAAUUUUGCCACUACACUUGCACCAAAUAAAAUCUGUGACACUGAAAUAAACACACAGGCUACUAUGUCACGAUCUAUAGCGCGUGCUCUGAGUGACAACAAUAGCACCAUCAGCUAGCCUACUCAACAAAUGGUAGUCUUUGCUGGCACCUGGUGGUUUCUAAAGUUAUUAUGCUAUUAUAUUUAUGACCACGCUCUGAUCUGCUUUGGUUUGUCAAGGGAUUUCAUAUGGGAAAUUAAUAAUGUUCAGACAAAUUCUAGGUUUUAAAGGUCAUUGGUAUGACACAUUUGAGACUAAGUAGGUAAAGCUCUUAGUAAAGCAUAUGCAUGAUGAGUGAACCUAUGGGUGCCGUGCAGGGAGUGUAAUUCAUUUUGUUAUGAAAUCUUAUUUUGUUAAUGUGAAUGUGUCUUCAGGCCCAGUCUAGCUCAUACCACCCACAUCCCCUGAAAUCCCCUGUAAUGACUAUAAUUGCAGUUCCUCUAGCUGUGGCCUCUAAUACACACAAGCUCAUGACUGGCAUGCAGACUCCACCCCUCAGGACUCAAUUGCUCCUGUCUGGAUAGACAAAGCUCUAUAGUCUCACCUGUCCAAUCUGUCUGGCACUGCUGCUCUUCCUACAUACUUAGCUAUGUGUAAGUUAGGUCUCAGACAGGAGAAAUAUGUGACAGAGGAUAUUCAUUUAGGUUGCAUAAACUAAACGGUUGACUUUUGUGCUUACUGAUGAAAUAUGUUCUCAAAAGGCUGCUACUUAAUCCCUGAAGAAAUCUUUGAGUCAUUGUAGAACAAUUACUCCAUCUGUUAGAUAAUGUGAGACAAAGCAAGAGACAUUAUUUUAAAAAACAGGAUACAUAUUUCCACAGUGUAAGUGGAGACAUUUAGACUGCAACAUGUUGUUUUCUCAUUGACUUAAUACAUGGAGGAAAUCUAUGAUAAUGCACGCUUUGGUGGAUAUAAUAGUAUCCUAACAGUGGGAGGAUCAAGUCAGGGGUGGGAAAUCAUUUUUGCUCGAGGGCCACAUUGGGAUUUCAAAAUUCAGCAGAGGGUCGCACACAUUUUCUUUUUACUCAAACCUCCCGCGGGUCAGAUUGAAUGGGCUCACAGGCCGCUGCCCAUCCCUGGUACUGUAUGUUGCCAUCCCUGAUCAAGUGGCUGCUUGACUUUUAGAUGAUUAGAAAUUGUAUAAUCAAAACGAGACAAAAAUAUUUCAUUUCAAAGAUUUAUUCACAAGUACAAAAAUGUAUUUUCAUACAGAUAUUCACAUAACAGAUAUUUUCAUCACCUAGAUUCAGUUUACAGUGCAUGUCUAGUAAUUACACAGACCAUGUAUUCUUUGGACAAGGCUAACAAAAAGUAUUCAACUGAGACAUGAAAACAGUUUCACUAGUUGCCAGACACAGUGUGUUGUCCUACAUGAAGCAUAUCACAUUUCAAUGAUUGACAUGGUGUGUGUCUGUCCUCACAGCUAUGCUGUUGACUGUGCAAUGGAAUGAGAGUA
Salmo salar (Atlantic salmon) is the source of this 2289-nucleotide non-coding RNA. Lineage: Eukaryota; Metazoa; Chordata; Actinopteri; Salmoniformes; Salmonidae. The record is from RefSeq and is a predicted model, not a curated record.